RNAcentral lists this ribosomal RNA (253 nucleotides) under uncultured prokaryote. RNAcentral's name for it is "partial 16S ribosomal RNA". It matches the Rfam family "Bacterial small subunit ribosomal RNA", at positions 524 to 776 of the family's 1533-position model. The record is from RNAcentral.
UACGGAGGGUGCAAGCGUUAUCCGGAUUCACUGGGUUUAAAGGGUGCGUAGGUGGGCAGGUAAGUCAGUGGUGAAAUCUUUGGGCUUAACCCGAAAACUGCCAUUGAUACUAUUUGUCUUGAAUAUUGUGGAGGUCAGCGGAAUAUGUCAUGUAGCGGUGAAAUGCUUAGAUAUGACAUAGAACACCUAUUGCGAAGGCAGCUUACUACGCAGAUAUUGACGCUCAUGCACGAAAGCGUGGGGAUCAAACAGG